RNAcentral lists this ribosomal RNA (468 nucleotides) under uncultured bacterium. RNAcentral describes it as "partial 16S ribosomal RNA". It matches the Rfam family "Bacterial small subunit ribosomal RNA", at positions 28 to 507 of the family's 1533-position model. The record is from RNAcentral.
GACGAACGCUGGCGGCGUGCUUAACACAUGCAAGUCGAACGGAAAGGCCCUGCUUUUGUGGGGUGCUCGAGUGGCGAACGGGUGAGUAACACUUGAGUAACCUGCCCUUGACUUUGGGAUAACUUCAGGAAACUGGGGCUAAUACCGGAUAGGAGCUCCUGCUGCAUGGUGGGUGUUGGAAAGUUUCGGCGGUUGGGGAUGGACUCGCGGCUUAUCAGCUUGUUGGUGGGGUAGUGGCUUACCAAGGCUUUGACGGGUAGCCGGCCUGAGAGGGUGACCGGCCACAUUGGGACUGAGAUACGGCCCAGACUCCUACGGGAGGCAGCAGUGGGGAAUAUUGCACAAUGGGCGGAAGCCUGAUGCAGCAACGCCGCGUGCGGGAUGACGGCCUUCGGGUUGUAAACCGCUUUCGCCUGUGACGAAGCGUGAGUGACGGUAAUGGGUAAAGAAGCACCGGCUAACUACGUG